GUUUCCGAGCAGCGGCGGUGGCGGCUGCAGAAGGUCUGGUCUUCCGGGGGGACCCCUUCACUUUCGCUUGGGCCGAGGGAACCUUGGCUUUAGCUUGGGGAAGUCGCAGCUCCUUGGGAGGAGGUGGGUCCCGACUUACUGUCGGGUGAACGCUUUCCAUUUUCUUUUCCGACUGGGGGCUGCUCGUUUCUUCCGCUCCGCUGCGGCUUCCAGGGCCGGGAUCCCGUGCAGGGACUCCUGUCCUUUGAAACCGGCGCGCUUUCCUCAGAUGUCGCUUCUCCUUUUUCAACUCUUUGCGGCUUUUUUUCCCACCCUGGCGGAAGCCCGCUAGUCCGCCACGACCUUGGGCUCGGGACCCCGGGAGCGGUCCCGUGAAGCCCCCGGGGAUCUCACUCCUAGAAGUCGUCUGCACAAACUCCUCCACCGCUAGCUUUAGCCUCUUCAUGGAUCCCUUCCCACCGCUCCCAUGACCGCGGUACGGCCCGUGCCCACCUUUACGCUUCAUGAAGACCAAGCACACCCGGCCACUGCCCGGGUCGGACUCAUCAGAAAAUUCUGGAGGCUUCACUAGAAACUCCUACUCAGGCUACAUCAAGAGAGUGGAUCUAAGGAUGAGAAAACAGGCACCGAACAGACAAGUAACUUCCCCAAUGUCAUGCAACCAAGAAUGGUGGAACUGGUGUUCAAACCCAGUACUCUGAGACUGUGUUCUUAAUCACUAUCCUAUCAAAUUAUCAAAGCAUCAGUUCAAAUAAUGUUAAUAAGAAUUUGGAUCAAGCAUCCAACACAAUAUAUUUGCUGAAUUAGGCUCAGGGAAUUACCUAACAAAUGAAGCAGCCAAAUGCUAGUGUCUGG
This is a long non-coding RNA of Choloepus didactylus (southern two-toed sloth), 855 nucleotides long. RefSeq lists it as uncharacterized. The record is from RefSeq and is a predicted model, not a curated record. The transcript is spliced from 3 exons. NCBI's taxonomy places the organism in Eukaryota, Metazoa, Chordata, Mammalia, Pilosa, Megalonychidae.